RNAcentral lists this transfer RNA (74 nucleotides) under Clostridium botulinum. Its description in RNAcentral is "tRNA-Trp". It matches the Rfam family "tRNA". From Rfam's summary of the family: Transfer RNA (tRNA) molecules are approximately 80 nucleotides in length. The record is from RNAcentral. Lineage: Bacteria; Bacillati; Bacillota; Clostridia; Eubacteriales; Clostridiaceae.
GAGGGUAUAGUUUAAUGGUAAAACAAUGGUCUCCAAAACCAUAGAUAGAGGUUCAACUCCUUUUACCUUUGCCA